GGGGGCUAUCAUGCAGUCGAGCGACAGACGAGGAGCUUGCUCCUCUGACGUUAGCGGCGGACGGGUGAGUAGCACGUGGAUAACCUACCUAUAAGACUGGGAUAGCUUCGGGAAACCGGAGCUAAUACCGGAUAAUAUAUUGAACCGCAUGGUCCAAUAGUGAAAGACGGUUUUGCUGUCACUUAUAGAUGGAUCCGCGCCGCAUUAGCUAGUUGGUAAGGUAACGGCUUACCAAGACAACGAUGCGUAGCCGACCUGAGAGGGUGAUCGGCCACACUGGAACUGAGACACGGUCCAGACUCCUACGGGAGGCAGCAGUAGGGAAUCUUCCGCAAUGGGCGAAAGCCUGACGGAGCAACGCCGCGUGAGUGAUGAAGGUCUUCGGAUCGUAAAACUCUGCUACUAGGGAAGAACAAAUGUGUAAGUAACUAUGCACGUCUUGACGGUACCUAAUCAGAAAGCCACGGCUAACUACGUGCCAGCAGCCGCGGUAAUACGUAGGUGGCAAGCGUUAUCCGGAAUUAUUGGGCGUAAAGCGCGCGUAGGUGGUUUUUUAAGUCUGAUAUGAAAGCCCACGGCUCAACCGUGGAGGGUCAUUGGAAACUGGAAAACUUGAGUGCAGAAGAGGAAAGUGGAAUUCCAUGUGUAGCGGUGAAAUGCGCAGAGAUAUGGAGGAACACCAGUGGCGAAGGCGACUUUCUGGUCUGUAACUGACGCUGAUGUGCGAAAGCGUGGAGAUCAAACAGGAUUAGAUACCCU
This 759-nucleotide ribosomal RNA is filed under the name uncultured bacterium. RNAcentral's name for it is "bacterial SSU rRNA". It matches the Rfam family "Bacterial small subunit ribosomal RNA", at positions 42 to 788 of the family's 1533-position model. The record is from RNAcentral.